Molecule: ribosomal RNA, 292 nt
Filed under: uncultured bacterium
Lineage: Bacteria
Description: partial 16S ribosomal RNA
Rfam family: Bacterial small subunit ribosomal RNA
Source: RNAcentral
GUGUCAGCAGCCGCGGUAAUACGGAGGGUGCGAGCGUUGUCCGGAAUCACUGGGCGUAAAGGGCGCGUAGGUGGUAACCUAAGCGUGUGGUGAAAGCCCGGGGCUCAACCUCGGGUCGGCCAUGCGAACUGGGUCACUGGAGCACUGUAGAGGCAGGUGGAAUUCCGGGUGUAGCGGUGGAAUGCGUAGAGAUCCGGAAGAACACCGGUGGCGAAGGCGGCCUGCUGGGCAGUUGCUGACACUGAGGCGCGACAGCGUGGGGAGCAAACAGGAUUAGAUACCCUGGUAGUCC